This 1764-nucleotide ribosomal RNA is filed under the name Kalmanmolnaria intestinalis. RNAcentral's name for it is "SSU rRNA". It matches the Rfam family "Eukaryotic small subunit ribosomal RNA". The record is from RNAcentral. Lineage: Eukaryota; Metazoa; Nematoda; Chromadorea; Rhabditida; Skrjabillanidae.
GGUGAAAGGCUCAUUACAACAGCUAUAAUGUGCUUGAUUUUGAUUUGUUACGUGGAUAACUGUAGUAACUCUAGAGCUAAUACGUGCACCAAAGCUCCGAUUAAAUUGACGAGCGCAUCUAUUAGACUUAAAACCAAUCGAGUUGCUCCCAGUCUAUCGUUCCGUUGCAGCAUCAAUUGUGCAGCAAUGUAUAGUUGUGAUGCGGCGGGAUGUGGGUAGCGUUCACUCGUACGGUGGUGACUCUGAAUAGCUUUGCUGAUCGCAUGGUCUUGCACCGGCGACAUAUCUAUCAAGUAUCUGCCUUAUCAACUUUCGAUGGUAGUUUAUGUGCCUACCAUGGUUGUAACGGGUAACGGAGAAUAAGGGUUCGACUCCGGAGAGGGAGCCUGAGAAACGGCUACCACUUCCAAGGAAGGCAGCAGGCGCGCAAAUUACCCACUCUUAGCUCGAGGAGGUAGUGACGAAAAAUAACGAGACCGAACUCAUUGAGGCCGGUUAUCGGAAUGGGUACAAUUUAAACCCGUUAACGAGGAUCAAUGAGAGGGCAAGUCUGGUGCCAGCAGCCGCGGUAAUUCCAGCUCUCAAAGUGUAUAUCGUCAUUGCUGCGGUUAAAAAGCUCGUAGUUGGACAUAGGCCAUACGAUUCGGUGCAUCUGAAUUGAUGUGAACUGGAUUCGAUGGUUGCAAUUGCCGUGUGUCGGUGUCCUAUCGGGACGCCGCAUGGCAUAUGCUGGUUUUCGCUACGUUGCCUUAGUCGGUCGCGUAGUGUGACUGGCGAGUUUACCUUGAAAAAAUUAGAGUGCUCAACGCGGGCUAGCGCUUGAAUACUCGUGCAUGGAAUAAUGGAAUAGGAUCUUGGUUCUAUUUUGUUGGUUUUCUGAGCCAAGAUAAUGGUUAAGAGGGACAGACGGGGCAUUCGUAUCGCUGCGUGAGAGGUGAAAUUCUUGGACCGCAGCGAGACGCCCUACUGCGAAAGCAUUUGCCAAGAAUGUCUUCAUUAAUCAAGAACGAAAGUCAGAGGUUCGAAGGCGAUCAGAUACCGCCCUAGUUCUGACCGUAAACGAUACCAACUAGCGUUCCGUCAGUGGUAAUGUUACGCCUUGACGGGCAGCUUACCGGAAACGAAAGUGUCUCGGUUCCGGGGGAAGUAUGGUUGCAAAGCUGAAACUUAAAGAAAUUGACGGAAGGGCACCACCAGGAGUGGAGCCUGCGGCUUAAUUUGACUCAACACGGGAAAACUCACCUGGCCUGGACACCGUGAGGAUUGACAGAUUGAGAGCUCUUUCUUGAUUCGGUGGUUGGUGGUGCAUGGCCGUUCUUAGUUGGUGGAGUGAUUUGUCUGGUUAAUUCCGAUAACGAGCGAGACUCUAGCCUACUAAAUAGUUAGCAGGCACAGUGUGUGCCUGUUGAACUUCUUAGAGGGACAGCGGUGUUCAGCCGCAUGAAGUUGAGCAAUAACAGGUCUGUGAUGCCCUUAGAUGUUCAGGGCUGCACGCGCGCUACACUGGAGGAAUCAGCGUGCAUAUGUCCAUUGUCGAAAGGCAUUGGUAACCACUUGAAAAUCCUUCGUGCUCGGGAUCGGCAAUUGCAAUUAUUUGCCGUGAACGAGGAAUUCCUAGUAAGUGUGAGUCAUCAGCUCACGCUGAUUACGUCCCUGCCCUUUGUACACACCGCCCGUCGCUGCCCUGGACUGAGCCGUUUCGAGAAAAGCGGGGAUCACUGCUUGGAGACCCAUGUGGUUGAUAUGUUUAAGUGAGAACCGCGU